UAGGGAAUAUUGGUCAUGUGCGAAAGCGCGAACCAGCAACGCCGCGUGCACGAUGAAGGCCUUCGGGUUGUAAAGUGCUUUUAGAGAGGAUGAGGAAGGACAGUACUUUCUGAAUAAGCCUCGGCUAACUACGUGCCAGCAGCCGCGGUAAAACGUAGGAGGCUAGCGUUAUCCGGAUUUACUGGGCGUAAAGCGCGUGCAGGUGGUUUCGUAAGUUGGAUGUGAAAGCUCCUGGCUUAACUGGGAGAGGUCGUUCAAAACUGCGAGGCUUGAGAGUGGUAGAGGGAGGUGGAAUUCCGGGUGUAGUGGUGAAAUGCGUAGAUAUCCGGAGGAACACCAGUGGCGAAAGCGGCCUCCUGGACCAUUUCUGACACUCAGACGCGAAAGCUAAGGUAGCAAACG
Molecule: ribosomal RNA, 402 nt
Filed under: uncultured bacterium
Lineage: Bacteria
Description: bacterial SSU rRNA
Rfam family: Bacterial small subunit ribosomal RNA
Source: RNAcentral